GUUCUGUGCUUGCUUAGCUCGCGUCGGUCGCGGGGUCAGGUCAUGUGCGUGGGUGUGUCGGUCAGCGGUUCUUGGGAUCGAUCUCGUCGCCGCCGCUGCUGGUUCUGGUUCGCCUCACCGCCUGCCACCCUGCCGCCUCGGCGUCUCCCGCCGACACCUACAGCUUGUUCGCUGUCCCCGCCGACCCGUGUCGGCGCGUUCCGCGCCCGCCGCCGUGCCAGCGGUCGAGGCGCAGGAAGUAUAACAAAAACUCUGGUUUUUUAAGCAACAAAGUAACAAAGAAUAAUAAAAACUGUGUCUGUUUAAGCAGUCUUCCAACUUUCGUCCCACCAAGAAAAGUAUUUUUCGAUUUUUUCCUAUUCGAACAUCGGAUGGUAGAAAAUUAUUUCAGGUUCGGUCAUCUUCUACCUCUCCUUCCCCUUCCCGAUCGUUUCCCCUCUCUAAACUGUUCUAUAAAAACUUCAUGAACCAUCACCGUCACCGAGAUUAGGUCCAUGAGGUAGUUCUAGUUCACUUAAGGCACUUUCUUCUCUUACGUUUAAAAUACGGUCGGCUUGUUCACCUUCUUGUCUAACGUCUAAGUCAACUUCGAUAUCUCCUUCUCUUACAACUUCAAGAUCCUCGACUUCAUUUAGGCGUGCAGUGUACAAGGUUACGCUGUUGUUGCCGUUCAACGAUGUCCUUAAGGCUACCUUUAGUACGCGAAACCUACAAUAACCUGAACCUGUAACAAAAUUUCUUUCGGAGCAGUUCGUGCUUAAAAAGGGCUCCGCUCAACAACCUGUUCUUUCUAAAAAGGUUUCAGAGAUUCGGAGAUUCCAAACACUCAACCUAUGCUCUUCGCGUUCUUUUUAUCGUCCUGUAGGCUCUCCUAAUACCACUAGACAAAGAAACACGUUCAUGAUUCACUGUCACACUAUACCAUAGAAAACACAAAAGGGAAACGAAACGGGGUGGUAAACGAGAAACACUAAGGACGUUUCAGAUAGAAGUCGAAGUGUUCUUAAGACACAGAUUGUAGCUACAACUUUACAAAGUGAUACCAGAACCCAAAAACAUGUAACUAAUA
RNAcentral lists this ribosomal RNA (1069 nucleotides) under Triticum aestivum (bread wheat). RNAcentral describes it as "partial small subunit ribosomal RNA". Lineage: Eukaryota; Viridiplantae; Streptophyta; Magnoliopsida; Poales; Poaceae. The record is from RNAcentral.